Long non-coding RNA from Lactuca sativa (garden lettuce), 372 nucleotides. RefSeq lists it as uncharacterized. NCBI's taxonomy places the organism in Eukaryota, Viridiplantae, Streptophyta, Magnoliopsida, Asterales, Asteraceae. The record is from RefSeq and is a predicted model, not a curated record.
GAUCAACCGAGUUGAAUUUAUUCACUGUAAAUCAUUUCUACAUAGGGAUAUAAAGCCAGACAACUUCCUUAUGAGUUUAGGGAGGCGUGCUAAUCAGGUCUAUGCUAUUGAUUUCGGGCUAGCCAAGAAAUAUAGAGACUCUUCAACUCAUCGGCACAUUCCAUAUAGAGAGAACAAGAAUUUGACAGGGACAGCUAGAUAUGCAAGCAUGAACCCAAGCCUGAUGGAACAUAAGAGGUCAGUUUAAUGUGAACUUAUUGUAUGUUUGCUAGUUGUUGGGAAAUGGGAAUAAUGAUUGAUGUAAAAACUGCAAAUAAUAACUAAUCUUAGAUGGGAUGUCAUAUAGGUUUUGAAUCUGAAGUAGAAUAAGAA